GGCGGUUAAUACGUAAGGGGGCCAAGGCGUUAUCCGGAAAUUAUUGGGCGUAAAGGAGUGCUGUAGGGUGUUUUUAUUAAGGCGCAGGGUUGAAAGGCCAUUGGCUCAACUUAUUGGUAAGCCUUUGGCGAACUGUUAAGGACCUGGAGUGCAAGAGGGAGGAAAAGUGGGAAUUCCUAGUUGUAAGCGGGUGAAAUGGCGUAGAAUAUUAGGGAGGAACCACCAGGUGGGCGAAGGGCGACUUUCUGGACUGUAACUGAACACUGAAGGCACGAAAAGCGUGGGGGAGCAAACAGGAUUUAGAUACCCUGGUAGUCCACGGCCGUAAACGAUGAGCACUAGGUGUCGGGGUCGCAAGGCUUCGGUGCCGCAGUUAACGCAUUAAGUGCUCCGCCUGGGGAGUACGCACGCAAGUGUGAAACUCAAAGGAAUUGACGGGGACCCGCACAAGCAGCGGAGCAUGUGGUUUAAUUCGGAGCAACGCGAAGAACCUUACCAGGACUUGACAUCCCUCUGACCGCUCUCUAACAGGAGCUUCUCUUCGGAGCAGAGGAGACAGGUGGUGCGUGGUUGUCGUCAGCUCGUGUCGUGAGAUGUUGGGUUAAGUCCCGCAACGAGCGCAACCCUUGUCAUUAGUUGCCAUCAGUUCGGCUGGGCACUCUAGUGAGACUGCCGGGGAUAACUCGGAGGAAGGUGGGGAUGACGUCAAAUCAUCAUGCCCCUUAUGUUCUGGGCUACACACGUGCUACAAUGGCUGGUACAAAGAGACGCAAGACGGUGACGUGGAGCAAAUCUCAAAAACCAGUCCCAGUUCGGAUUGUAGGCUGCAACUCGCCUACAUGAAGUUGGAGUUGCUAGUAAUCGCGAAUCAGAACGUCGCGGUGAAUGCGUUCCCGGGUCUUGUACACACCGCCCGUCACACCAUGGAAGUUGGGGGCGCCCGAAGU
RNAcentral lists this ribosomal RNA (947 nucleotides) under uncultured bacterium. Its description in RNAcentral is "bacterial SSU rRNA". It matches the Rfam family "Bacterial small subunit ribosomal RNA", at positions 516 to 1427 of the family's 1533-position model. The record is from RNAcentral.